CUACGGGCUGCACCAGUUAGGGAUAUUCGGCAAUGGGGGAAACCCUGACCGAGCAAUGCCGCGUGAAUGAAGAAGUAUUUCGAUAUGUAAAGUUCUGUUGUUAAGGAAGAAAGGUACGAAUAGGAAAUGAUUCGUAAUUGACGGUACUUAACCAGAAAGCCCCUGCUAACUACGUGCCAGCAGCGGUAAUACGUAGGGGGCGAGCGUUAUCCGGAAUUAUUGGGCGUAAAGGGUGCGUAGGCGGCCUGUCAAGUCCGAGUUGAAAGCCCACGGCUUAACCGUGGAGGGUGCUCGGAAACUGAUAGGCUUGAAUCCAGAAGAGGCAAGUGGAAUUCUAUGUGGAGCGGUGGAAUGCGUAGAUAUAUGGAGGAACACCAGUGGCGAAGGCGGCUUGCUGGGCUGGUAUUGACGCUGAUGCACGAAAGCGUGGGGAGCAAACAGGAUUAGAUACCCCCGUAGUC
RNAcentral lists this ribosomal RNA (461 nucleotides) under uncultured bacterium. RNAcentral describes it as "partial 16S ribosomal RNA". It matches the Rfam family "Bacterial small subunit ribosomal RNA", at positions 339 to 795 of the family's 1533-position model. The record is from RNAcentral.